GACGAACGCUGGCGGCGUGCUUAACACAUGCAAGUCGAACGAUGAAGAAGAGACACGCGAACUUCGGCUCCAAUUUCACUUCGGAUUAGUGGCAGACGGGUGAGUAACGCGUUCGCAACCUACCUCUUACAAAGGGAUAGCCUCGGGAAACCGUGAUUAAUACCCUAUGACUCAUUCAUAAGGCAUCUUAAGAAUGUUAAAGCUACGGCGGUAAGAGAUAGGCUCGCGUCCCAUUAGCUAGUUGGUGAGGUAACGGCCCACCACGGAGACGAGGGGUAACCGGGCUGAGAGGGUGAACGGUCACAUUGGAACUGGGACACGGUCCAAACUCCUACGGGAGGCAGGAGUGUGGAAUAGUGCACAAUGGAGGGAACUCUGAUGCAGCGACGCCGGGUGAGCGAUGAAGGAAGUCGUUUAGUAAAGCUCUGUUCUAUGGGAAGAAAAGGACUGUAACAGAGGAGAAAGCCCCGGCUAAAUACGUG
RNAcentral lists this ribosomal RNA (482 nucleotides) under uncultured bacterium. RNAcentral describes it as "partial 16S ribosomal RNA". It matches the Rfam family "Bacterial small subunit ribosomal RNA", at positions 28 to 507 of the family's 1533-position model. The record is from RNAcentral.